GGCAAUCAGCCCUAGUAAAUAGUACAGAACCUUCCUCAAGUCUCUAUAUCAGCGUGCAGAGGAUGUGCCUAAGAUUUUCUUUCAACAACAUUUAGUGUGAGCUAGUUGUCUAUCGGGAAACUACACUUAGGGCGUCUCGAAUGGUCUAGCUUAGAGCUAACUCAAUUAAUUUUUUAUUUGUUGAACAGGACAAUAAGUAUGAGACUAGCUAGGAGUGAAGAGAUAGUCUAGCUCACUUUUCGAUGCAACUCUCUCUCAUAACACGAUCUUCAAAACUACUAUAUACAUGGGACCACACAUCAACUAUGAGCUAUCAACUAACUUAUACUGUUGGAGACGCUCUUAUACAUCAGUCUCAACAAUUUCACAAAACAUACUCCCUCUAUCCUGAAAUAUAAGACAUCCUAGAGAUAUUAGAACAGAUUAGUAGAAGUGUAAAAAAACGUAUGUACCCCUGAGUUAUACGUGGGGAGUUGUGUUGUUUGUCUAUUUUAAUUAAUGACAGUUGCAGAUAAUAAGGAAACUAAUCCACCAAUCAGCCACCCUUACUCCGUCAAUUCCAAGGAGAACUAAAUGAGCAAUCAUUCAAAUGUGCCUACAAUACCUUAUAUUUGAAGAUAAUUUUUGAACACUUAGAUGCUUUGUAUUUCAGGACGGAGGGAGUAUAGUUUUAAUAUAAAUAAAAAUUCUAGGAACAAAAUUGGGAACGGUGGAACUUGCACAUGAUGAGCCUACUUGAACCGAAGUUUGAAUACACGUGAUUAUAAAUGUAGCGAAUCAUGAAUUGACAUACGUAAUGUCUAUCACAAAAUCUACUGUGAACUGAUAUCCAAUUAAUCAUUUACAUUUGUUCCUGGGGUCUGCAAGCGAAUACUAGCUUUUAACAUCUACCAUUCGAGAAUGAAAUAUUAGCAUUAAAGGACGUAAUAGGUUUGGAAAUGGAGCCAUAAGGGACACAUGGAAGACAAGCAUCACAGCG
RNAcentral lists this long non-coding RNA (979 nucleotides) under Setaria viridis. RNAcentral describes it as "long non-coding RNA (SVIR_LNC002351)". The record is from RNAcentral. Lineage: Eukaryota; Viridiplantae; Streptophyta; Magnoliopsida; Poales; Poaceae.